Molecule: ribosomal RNA, 467 nt
Filed under: uncultured bacterium
Lineage: Bacteria
Description: partial 16S ribosomal RNA
Rfam family: Bacterial small subunit ribosomal RNA
Source: RNAcentral
GACGAACGCUGGCGGCGUGCUUAACACAUGCAAGUCGAACGGAAAGGCCUCUUUCGGGGGGUACUCGAGUGGCGAACGGGUGAGUAACACGUGAGUAACCUGCCCUUGACUUUGGGAUAACUUCAGGGAACUGGGGCUAAUACCGGAUAGGAGCUCCUGCUGCAUGGUGGGGGGUGGAAAGUUUCGGCGGUUGGGGAUGGACUCGCGGCUUAUCAGCUUGUUGGUGGGGUAGUGGCUUACCAAGGCUUUGACGGGUAGCCGGCCUGAGAGGGUGACCGGCCACAUUGGGACUGAGAUACGGCCCAGACUCCUACGGGAGGCAGCAGUGGGGAAUAUUGCACAAUGGGUGGAAGCCUGAUGCAGCAACGCCGUGUGCGGGAUGACGGCCUUCGGGUUGUAAACCGCUUUCGCUCAUGACGAAGCUUUGUGUGACGGUAGUGGGUAAAGAAGCACCGGCUAACUACGUG